UGGCUGGAAUGUUAGAUCAGAAGGA
This 25-nucleotide non-coding RNA is filed under the name Mus musculus (house mouse). The record is from RNAcentral. Lineage: Eukaryota; Metazoa; Chordata; Mammalia; Rodentia; Muridae.